This 633-nucleotide long non-coding RNA is filed under the name Coffea arabica (coffee). RNAcentral's name for it is "long non-coding RNA (CARA_LNC005161)". Lineage: Eukaryota; Viridiplantae; Streptophyta; Magnoliopsida; Gentianales; Rubiaceae. The record is from RNAcentral.
GCUGGCUUUGCUUUGGGGAGGAGAUGGGUGAGGGGCGUGCGAAAUGUCAGUUUCAGGCUUCAGGCGCAGCGGAUAAGGGGCGUCGCAGGGGAGGUCAGUUUCGUAAAUUGCUCUUAAAAAAUACUCUAUGAACCAUCAAGUGGUGGAAGGAAAGAAGGAAGAUAUUUGUUUUUGUCUUCAAUAAAAUAAACAAAUAUCUAAAAAUGGUGUGUAGGUGCAUGAUGGUGACAAGGCAACAUUAGCAGUGGGGCGCGAGGGCGAGGAUAUACCUGGAGGAUGUGGGAACGACAAAAGCAGACGGUGACGUUUUGGUGCUUUUCGGUCGCUCCCACCCUGAGACGACGGCGUUUUAUGGCUUCUUUUGUCGUUAUUGAUCUCCAUCGUCCUUUUCUUUUUUUUCAAGAAUAUGCCCGCUUCGUCCUCGCAACUCAGUAGUGGUCCCUUCUGUUAGUUUUCGUUUUUCGUUGAAAUUUGCGCCUCUCUCUGUGCGUGCGUGCGUGUGUGUGUGUGUGUGUGUGUUUUUUUUUUAACAAAAAACAGUAAAUGGAUAGGGUAUCAAUGAAAUGACGAAUGUAUCCCCCCGUUAUGGAUAAAUUUCAGAGCCAGUUGUGUGCCAUACUUGCAAAAAUGAAA